GGUGUUACGCCGGUAUGAGCGGAUUACUUUGAUGAAGUAGGAUAUGAGACUCUUCUCUAACAUCUUUA
This 68-nucleotide transfer RNA is filed under the name Utterbackia peninsularis (peninsular floater). RNAcentral describes it as "tRNA-Ile". Lineage: Eukaryota; Metazoa; Mollusca; Bivalvia; Unionida; Unionidae. The record is from RNAcentral.